GUCGAACGGCAGCUCGUCGUCGCUGUGGGGGAGAGGGGACGCGGGAGAAAUAUAUCUCGAAACACCCUCUAUCUGGGGAAACCCUUUCCAACAGCGAGCUUCCGCCUUCGUACUAUGGAUCUGACAGUUAAUCAUGAAAGUCUGUGUUGGACGGGGCAUGUCUCUGAUUAGCUAGUUGGUGGGGAAAAGCCCCACCAAGACGUGAUCUUUAGCUGUGUGAGAGGACGACCCGCCACACUGCUCUGAGACACGGACAAGACUCAUACGGGAGGCAGCGGUGGGGUAUUUUGGACAAUGGGCGAGAGCCUGAUCCAGUAAUGCCGCGUGAAGGAAGAAGGUCUUCGGGUUGUAAAGCUUUUUUUGGUAGAGAAAAAGUGGUGCGGACUAAUAUCCUGUGAUAAUGACGCUACCAGAAGAAUAACCGGCGAAUCAACUUCGUGACCAGCCGCGCGAUAAUACGUGGGGAACAAGCGUUCAUCUUUUAUUACUGGGUAAAGAGCGCAGCGCGGACUUUUGUGACAAUAGCGUGUAACAUCGCGCGACUCCACCGGUUUCCUCAUAGACAGCUAGCUAUAUCGGAGAAAGAGGGGAAUAUACUCGUGUGUGCGAAAAAAUGCAAAAAA
This 623-nucleotide ribosomal RNA is filed under the name bacterium EK-I70. RNAcentral describes it as "bacterial SSU rRNA". The stretch from base 1 to 479 matches the Rfam family "Bacterial small subunit ribosomal RNA", at positions 61 to 546 of the family's 1533-position model. The record is from RNAcentral.